This 1071-nucleotide long non-coding RNA is filed under the name Cicer arietinum (chickpea). Its description in RNAcentral is "long non-coding RNA (CARI_LNC003163)". Lineage: Eukaryota; Viridiplantae; Streptophyta; Magnoliopsida; Fabales; Fabaceae. The record is from RNAcentral.
GCUACCGAUCUUUGAUAAUUUGUUUCAUAGUUCUCAUAUUUUUAACUAAUAGAGGCCAUUAUUUCUAACAUUGAAACCUACACUGGUUGAACCACCUACCAUCGUCGAGGGAAGUUAAACAUCAUCUAACUUCACAACAUGCUCAAUGUUAGCGACAUCGGAAGAUUUCUUCGAGGAUACUUCACCUUCGACAUCUAGACCUUCUUCAUUUUAUUCUUCCUCUUCUUUGACUUCUUCGAAGGAGAAGUAGCAUCAGAGCUUACUCUUUCUCUUGAAAUAAAUGACAUCUUUAGGUGAGGUACUUGAAGUAUUAGGGUUAACAUCCCUUUGGCCUGGUGCUUCAUUUUUAGACACUUGUUAGGGUGACUUCAGAGUUGCAAUAGGAUGAGUGUAUGGUUCAAUUUCAAUAGCCACAUCUUUCUAAAAUUCAAAAAGUUUUAGUUAGAUAGAAGAAUGUGCAAGUAACCUAAACAAUUCAAAAAGCGUAAAAAGAUAACUCAGUGAGAUCAACCGGUUGUACAUUUGAAGGCCCUUAUGUUGCAAGCAUCUAAAUGAUAGUGUCGAUAUGCAUGUUAUCAUCAAUUAAAAGAUUCUUUUUCUCUUUGACUUUGAGAUUUACUUUUUAAAGGACUCUCAAGAUUCUCAUCCUAUUAGCAAACAAAAAAAAACCUAUGGUACCAUUAAAAAUAGUUUUCCUAUCGAGUUUUUUCAUGUUAGAUUUAGGUGGAUUAAAGCUGCCAAACAUUGAUCUAAAUGCAUUGGCAACCGAUUUCAAAAACUUAGGUUUUACUUGACUUGUAAAUGCCAAUGGUUUUUAAGAAGCACAUUGCGGGAAGAAAAAAAAAAGAACAUGCUGACGAUGAUUUCUGGGAUGAAGAGGCCUUAAAAGUGCAAUACUUUUGAUGGGUUAAAGAGAAUGGAAUAAGUACCUAAUCUCUCCAAAUAGCCUUCUUAGUUUCGUCUUCUUCAAGCUCAAGAGCACAUCGGUUUUAUCCUCCCAAUAUAGGUUUAGUAGUAUAAGAAGUUGUGGGAGGAAUAGAGGUUCAAUUGUGUGAUGUAGAGGACAUUUGC